UGCUAACGGUUAAAACCCCAGAGAUUUAAUGAGCUUUACAAGCCCACAAGGUGGGUCCCACAGACACAUGGCCGAGCCAACCGAUAGCGUGAGGGCAGCAGAGGACCUUGCUGUGACAAACACCCCAUCCCCACACAGCUGGGCUUUUUAAUAGAAAACUCUUUGGGGGAGUUGGGUUAACCUACCUCCAGCUGAGUAAGAGGGGCAUUUACUGCAAUGAUCCUACAAAAAAUAAAAUUAAAAAAAAAAAAAAGGGGGAAGCUUUCAAAAUAGUUAGGUGAUGCUUCCCUCUCCUUGGUUUUUGCCUUGGAGUUCAGCUGGUACAGGUGACAAUUGAUGAAGGAGGCUGCUGGAGCGUCACCAAGCCGAGGGAAAAGACACCUUUCUGUCUUGGCAAGGGCAGGGAGGGAAGCAGCGCUACCCCAGCAGGAGAUAGCAGAGCCAGAGGAAGAGUGUGCACAUGUGUGGAUUCCCCCCCCAGAAAGUGUAUUUUACAUCCCCACAUCGGUAAAACACAAUGUCCUUCCCAAGUGCUAUAGGUAAAUCUGAUCCUGGAGAGAAUGGCAAACUAGGCAAUGAUUUUCAGAGCAUUUCCUUUUCCUCCAGCAAAAGCCAAAGGGAAAAGGGCAGCAGCCAUUGAAACAGAGCAAAUCACCCUGUGGCAGCUGUGUCCCCAGACGGGCUGCAUUCAGCACACCCAGGUUUCUGCCACCGCCCAGAUUUUUCUUUUUCCCUGAAAUGCAGCUCUGCCCUCCCUGGUGUCUGCACAUCCACGUUUUCAGGGCAGCAGCCUCCUUCCUGUCCAGCGCAGGUGCCUGAUCCUGAACUUUGGUGCCUGUUUGCCCAGAAGCACCAUGACAGCCCCCUGACAAUGAUGAUUUUCAGCCCCAGACCCUGCCCUCCUUUGCCCAGCUCACAGGCACUGCUUUCCUGUCUCAUCCACUUCUCCUUCCCACCCCACUCCCCUUUCCAGCUGCUGACCCUAAGCUCCCUCCCACUUGCCCUCCUCCAGCUGUAGCACCCUGUGCCCCUGCUCCCCACCUGCCUUCCUCCCCUCUCCUCUUCACCAAGCCUCACCGAGUGCCUUCAGCCCCCCUGCAACUAGCUUCUGCCCUGCAUCCGCACCCAGGGCGCAUGGCCGCAGCUUACACCUCCUGCCGCCCCGGCUGUGCCACGGGUCAGAAGCUGAAGCCUUUUAUCAGGACUCCUACAAGCCAGCCACGUCUCGAGGGCACCCCAGCUGCAGGCUUCCCCUUGCAUUAGCUGGUGCCACGCUUGUCCCCACCAGCCCUGAUAUAACUGUGCUUUAGGCAAUAAACCACGCGGAAGGGGCUCUCCUGGUGCA
RNAcentral lists this long non-coding RNA (1345 nucleotides) under Anser brachyrhynchus (Pink-footed goose). RNAcentral's name for it is "lncRNA (ENSABRG00000010499.1)". The record is from RNAcentral. Lineage: Eukaryota; Metazoa; Chordata; Aves; Anseriformes; Anatidae.